GCCGAAACGCCCACGAGGGCGUCUGUCGGGGACGGUCUCCCGGCACUGACGAUGGCAGACCA
This 62-nucleotide non-coding RNA is filed under the name human gut metagenome. The record is from RNAcentral.